This is a long non-coding RNA of Ailuropoda melanoleuca (giant panda), 547 nucleotides long. RefSeq lists it as uncharacterized. The transcript has 3 exons. The record is from RefSeq and is a predicted model, not a curated record. Lineage: Eukaryota; Metazoa; Chordata; Mammalia; Carnivora; Ursidae.
CCAAAGACCUUCAGGCCUUUCCUGAGUAGGAAAAGAAAAACUACAGAAGAAAGGAAUGAAAAGGAACAUAAGGCCAUCAGGAGAGAAUUGAAUAAGUAGUCAACUCUAAGGUCAAAAUUAAUGAACUACUCUGCUACCCCCUGAAGAAGGGUAGAAUAAAGUAAAGGAAAACCAAAAUGAGACUUAUCUUCCUGCCAUAAACAACUGGGAAACUGGACAAAAUAUUUGAAACAACUGUUUGCAGAUAUUGGACAACCAUCAUUCCAGGACUAUUAUCUUGAUAUUCAGAGAAGAUGCUGGUUCUAAAACGUAAUGCAGUGAGAACUGAAUUCCCUGGAAAGUGGUCAGCACCUUCUAGAAUAAGGGCUUAUGAAGAGUCAUGAAUAGACAUCCACAUCACCUUGGACUGUGAAGUUGGCAAGUUUCACUCUUCCUUCCUUUGUAUGUGUCUCCAUCCACCUUUCCAGUUACUACGUCUUACAAGAGGUAUAGCAUGUAUUCCAUUCUUACAGAAUGUGUGGGAAGGAUUCCUUCAUUACAUGAUCCA